CGAAGGACAAGAAAGACAAGGCCCCCUUAAACCUAAGCGCCUUCCAGCUUAACAGAUGAUAUUAUCUUAAUCUGAUAUGCUAUAACCAUAAAAUCCCCUAGAUACAGGGGCUU
Molecule: ribosomal RNA, 113 nt
Filed under: Lophostoma silvicola (D'Orbigny's round-eared bat)
Lineage: Eukaryota; Metazoa; Chordata; Mammalia; Chiroptera; Phyllostomidae
Description: partial 16S ribosomal RNA
Source: RNAcentral